CCAUCAUCCAUCUCAUCACCAUCAUCCAUCUCAUCAUCAUCAUCAUCCAUCUCUCAACUAUCAUCCAUCUCUCAACUAUCAUCCAUCUCAUCAUCAUCAUCAUCCAUCUCAUCAUCAUCAUCCAUCUCAUCAUCAUCAUCCAUCUCAUCAUCAACACACAAUGGAUUUGCUGACUCCUCAGCACCAAGGGUGUACACUGGGAUCGACAUAGAGGGUUGUCAUGGUGACAAUAAGGAGGUAAAGGAUCGCCCCCUACAGUCCAGCUCAGGUAGUGAGACCACCACCAUCUACUCCACCGCCAACUUACCCACAAGCUCCUCUGACUCUCUCAACUACGCCAGCGUCAACUUCCACAAGAACCCCAGCUGCCCCAAUGAAGCCACUGUCGCCAUCGCUAAAGAGGGUACUUUUUCUGGUGACUAUGCCACUGUCAAAGUCAGUUAAAGACACCCCUACUCUACUGUCAAUCAUCCACACAGAUACUCUGAGGCUCCUCCCAUCUACUCCACAGUGAACAAAACCAGAGACACCUGAGUCACUGACAACCAAUCACGAGGGACAUGCACACACUGGCAACCAAUCACAAGAAACAUGUCAUGAACUACGUUUGCCACUAACAGCCUCUUGAGCACUGAGCUCUGUUUUUAGCAGACAGCUGCAUCAUGUGUUUCAUGUCCUCACAAUGUGUUUCCCUGACUUCUCUCUUCCAUCAGAUGUGUUACCCUGACUUCUCUCUUCCAUCAGAUGUGUUUCCCUGACUUCUCUCUUCCAUCAGAUGUGUUUCCCUGACUUCUAUCUUCCAUCAGAUGUGUUUCCCUGACUUCUCUCUUCCAUCAGAUGUGUUACCCUGACUUCUCUCUUCCAUCAGAUGUGUUUCCCUGACUUCUAUCUUCCAUCAGAUGUGUUUCCCUGACUUCUCUCUUCCAUCAGAUGUGUUUCCCUGACUUCUCUCUUCAACUUGUCUUAAUGUUAGUCACUUAAUUGCAUGUUAAUAUCUGCAGAUAAAUAUUGUCUCAAUAUUUUCCAAGCACUGAAAAAGGUAUCACACCUUUUGACCAAGGCAUUAUAACUGUCUAUUAACUGGGUUUUUUACACAUUUAUAAAUAAUUAAAUAAGCAUUAAUGAUGUCAUGAUAAACUCCCUAUAAAGGGUGCCUUUAAAACCACCCCCUUUUAGCUUGGCCUUUAACCAGUGAUUGUUUUAGACAUCCUCUGUGUUUUAUGUUCUAUUAUUCAUCCUUUUUACUGCUUCCUGUUUGCUUCUACUUUUUUAUUUGAUUGUUUUUAUGCAAAUUGGGAUGCGAUUUUCAAUGCAAUUGAAAUUAAAGAGGCAGUGCACUUUAAAAUGUUAAUUUCCAGUUGUUUUAAUGAUAUUUCCACCAUAUGAGGUCGAAUUAACACUCUGAAAUUCUGAGAAUGAUGAGAAUGCCCUUUUGUGUGAGAGCUGUUUGAAAAGAAUACCUGGAAUUUCAGCAUGUUCUUGAUGCCACAAUCUGAUCUGAUUGUAAUAGACCAAUGACUUGUCAUUUGGGUAAGUGGGUGGUCUCUAGACCAUCCUAUCAGCCAGUCAGGGCUGUUUAAGUAAAUAUCUUCACAUUUGUUUCCUAACGCCCACACGAUCAAACUGAGAAUUUCAAUGUCCACAAGAGGCUCAGGGAAAUACAUUAUAAAAAAUAUACUUUUGAGUUAUUUUUAUCAAAUAUACACACACAGUGACUAUAUACAAAUGACAUUGAAAUAACUGCAUGGGGGCCUUAAGUUGGAUUUGAUAUUUUCACAUACAGUAUGUUGCAGUUGGUACAAAACAGAGCAGCACGUAUUGCACUUAGAUGUACACGGAGGUUCAAAUGUCAACGACAUGCAUGUCUAUCUCUCCUGACUCAAAGUUGAGGAGAGAUUGACUGCAUCACUAUUGGUCUUUGUGUGAGAUGUUGAUGUGUUGAAGCUACCGAACUGUCUGUUUAGGCAGUUGGUUCACAGUUCAGACACUCAUUGGUACCAGACAAGACAUGCAACCAGAGGUCCCUUCACAUUCCCCAGGGCCAGAACAGAGGCUGGGAAACACAGUAUUAAAUAGAGCCAUGACUACAUGGAACUCUCUGCCACCUCAGGUAACUCAAGCUAACAGAUACAAGACCACCUUAUUGCAGGAUAGAGACUGUGAAGAGACACAGACAUGUUUAUGCAUUUUGUAUUGUUUUCUGCAUUGUAUUAUGUGUUGCAUUAUGUAUGUGAUACGUGGUUAGGAUCCGACUUUGAUAUGUGGUUGUCUCAUCUGGCUAUCUUAAGAUGAAUGUACUGGCUGUGGGUCACUGUGGAUGGGAGCGUCUGCUGUAUGGCUCAAUUGUAAUGUAAAUGUAGUGCUGUAUACUUAUGUAUAUUUUGUAUUUUAUUUGUUAUUUUGUUUCAUGUUUGGACCCCAGGAAGAGUAGUUGCCUCAGCAACAGCUAAAGGGGAUAAUAAUAAAUACCAAAUACAUCAAUGUGAAAAUG
Salmo salar (Atlantic salmon) is the source of this 2491-nucleotide long non-coding RNA. RefSeq lists it as uncharacterized. The record is from RefSeq and is a predicted model, not a curated record. Lineage: Eukaryota; Metazoa; Chordata; Actinopteri; Salmoniformes; Salmonidae.